UGCCAGCUUUGAUUUGCCUCCC
Molecule: non-coding RNA, 22 nt
Filed under: Mus musculus (house mouse)
Lineage: Eukaryota; Metazoa; Chordata; Mammalia; Rodentia; Muridae
Source: RNAcentral